This 537-nucleotide long non-coding RNA is filed under the name Pogona vitticeps (central bearded dragon). Its description in RNAcentral is "lncRNA (ENSPVIG00000021329.1)". The record is from RNAcentral. Lineage: Eukaryota; Metazoa; Chordata; Lepidosauria; Squamata; Agamidae.
CCCUGUGCCAAAGCAGGAAAUGCCACCCAAAGCAUCCCUGACAGGUGGACAUCCAACUUCUGUUUAACACCUCCAGUGUUGGAGAAUCCACCACCUAUGAGUCACGUUUCAGAUUCAACGAAAAGUGAAUAUAUGAAAUAAUGCAUCCAUAAUGGGUCUGGUUUUCUUGAUAUUUGGACAUUUUCUUGAUAGGCUCUUCCAUGAUUUUCAGCUAGCUGAAAUGAGCUGUUCUCAAAUGAGUCUCCUCAGCCUAGAACAGUGAGUGGGCAUGAACUUCACACUCAACUUCUUCAAUGUUAAAGAAGGAAGGAAGGAAGGAAGGAAGGAAGGAAGGAAGGAAGGAAGCAUUUGAAACCAGACUACAGAAGCUUACAAAGAUACUGUUAAGCUGAAGAAAAAUAAUAUACUGAAGCUAUUCAUAAUUGAACUGUUGCAGCAUGAUGCUAUGGAAUUCUGAGAAUCAUCUUCACACUAUUCAUUGCUGGAGGCCUUCAGUAAGUUAUUCCCAGAUUCUAUAGUCAUUACAAAUACUUAGUC